RNAcentral lists this ribosomal RNA (433 nucleotides) under uncultured bacterium. RNAcentral's name for it is "partial 16S ribosomal RNA". It matches the Rfam family "Bacterial small subunit ribosomal RNA", at positions 29 to 507 of the family's 1533-position model. The record is from RNAcentral.
AGCGAACGCUGGCGGCAGGCUUAACACAUGCAAGUCGAAGGGACUCUUCGGCGUUAGCGGGCUUUGGGUGGGCGACACGCGGCAACGUGGCUUGUGACUCGGAAUCACCCAGGGAAACAUGUGCUAAUACCGAUUGGGCACUACGGGGGAUAGGUUAUGCGCCAUUAGGAAGGCCCGCGACUGAUUAGCUAGAUGUUGAGGUAACGGCUGACCAAGGCGACGAUCAGUAGCUGGUCUGAGAGGCGGGCCAGCCACCCUGGGACUGCGACACGGCCCAGACUCCUACGGGGGGCAGCAGUCGGGAAUCUUGCGCAAUCAGCGAGAGCCUAACGCAGCCGUGCCGUGUGAUGUAUGAAGGUCUUAUGAGUGUAUAAUUCUUUCACCGGGGACGAUAAUGACGGUACCCUAAGAAGAAGCCCCGGCUAACUUCGUG